UACGUAGGGUGCAAGCGUUAAUCGGAAUUACUGGGCGUAAAGCGUGCGCAGGCGGUUGUGCAAGACAGAUGUGAAAUCCCCAGGCUUAACUUGGGAACUGCGUCUGAUACUGGGAGGCUUGAGUGCGGGAGAGGGAUGUGGAAUUCCAGGUGUAGCGGUGAAAUGCGUAGAUAUCUGGAGGAACACCGGUGGCGAAGGCGGCAUCCUGGACCGACACUGACACUGAGGAGCGAAAGCGUGGGGAGCAAACAGG
This 253-nucleotide ribosomal RNA is filed under the name uncultured bacterium. Its description in RNAcentral is "partial 16S ribosomal RNA". It matches the Rfam family "Bacterial small subunit ribosomal RNA", at positions 524 to 776 of the family's 1533-position model. The record is from RNAcentral.